CCUACGGGAGGCUGCAGUGGGGAAUAUUGGACAAUGGGGGCAACCCUGAUCCAGCCAUGCCGCGUGUGUGAAGAAGGCCCUCGGGUUGUAAAGCACUUUCAGUGAGGAAGAACGCCUGGUGGUUAAUACCCAUCAGGAAAGACAUCACUCACAGAAGAAGCACCGGCUAACUCCGUGCCAGCAGCCGCGGUAAUACGGAGGGUGCGAGCGUUAAUCGGAAUUACUGGGCGUAAAGCGCGCGUAGGUGGCUUGAUAAGCCGGUUGUGAAAGCCCCGGGCUCAACCUGGGAACGGCAUCCGGAACUGUCAAGCUAGAGUGCAGGAGAGGAAGGUAGAAUUCCCGGUGUAGCGGUGAAAUGCGUAGAGAUCGGGAGGAAUACCAGUGGCGAAGGCGGCCUUAUGGACUGACACUGACACUGGGGUGCGAAAGCGUGGGUAGCAAACAGGAUUAGAUACCCUGGUAGUC
Molecule: ribosomal RNA, 465 nt
Filed under: Vreelandella stevensii
Lineage: Bacteria; Pseudomonadati; Pseudomonadota; Gammaproteobacteria; Oceanospirillales; Halomonadaceae
Description: partial 16S ribosomal RNA
Rfam family: Bacterial small subunit ribosomal RNA
Source: RNAcentral